UUCAAAAUAUAUUCACAUUUGUUUUCUGUUUUAACAUUAUAGCAAUCCUGGCCAUGGUGCUUCCCAAAUUUUGUGGACAAUAUAACUGAGACCCAGAGAUUUUCAUCAAAUUGUUAGACAAAUGAACAGAAGGUACAGGUGCAGUUCGGGUUCAAAUUCUGGAAACCCAUCAUGCCUUGCCUAAGAGGUAUCUUGCUGCUAAGACAACUGCCCAGAGAAAUCAGAUGUGUGUCCUGGAGAAACAUGAGGAAUACCAAUUUGACUCAGGGGAGAUCAGAGUUGGGUGAACCUUACUCCAGUUCCUGGUAGAGAGUUUUCCAUAUUAACAACCAUCAGCAGUGGGUUGGACACCAUUCUAAACUCCUCUUGUCUGCUUCUGAAGCAGCUUGCUCUCUCUCUGAAGCACAAUAGGAGCCAUUCGGCCUGGCUAGUCUCUCAGGGGGGUCAACUUUACAUUUCCCAACUCUGUGGAAUUCCUUUGAGUACGUAAGCCUAAAGAGCUUUCUGUUUUCACUUUCUGUCUCUUAAUUCUGUAUGAAAUCUAAUUAUCACUGUUGAGUAUAUAGUUUUCAUUAAUCUAGACAUAUAAUUCCAUUUCUAUUCCACCUUGUUCCCUGGAAAAUUUUAAUGUAAAAACUGCUUCCAUAUCCCCCUGUGUUACGUAUGUCACCACACACACACACACACACACCCCAAGCACAAGCAUGCACAAACAUAAUGAUUGGUCAAAUGUGUUAUUCAAUUGUCCUACAAUGUCUAUAUUCAAAGCAGAAGAUGUUUUCCCAUAGUCUUUCAUUGCUGCAUUAAUUAAAAGCAAUGAUAUUGAGACAAAAAAUGUACACUAGACAAGCUCCCACAAAAAACAGUAAAAAUCUUGACAUAGUUUGUGUAUGUUAUAAAUUACAUAGGAUUAUACCCAUGGCUUUAAAAGAUUUACUAGGAUACCGUUUUGUGGCUUCUAAAUUCUAAAAUAUUCUCUAACUGCCAAGCUAACUAGAACAUGAAGAAUAUUUUGUCAAAUGGAGAUACACAUGGUAUUCCUAUGGCAUUUCACUGUUUUUCACCAGUAGUAAAGAUUUGGGAGUAAUUUUACUUUGUAUUUUCCAUGUAAGGAAAAAAGAAACAUGAGUCUUACAGGAUAUGUUUCCACUCUUAUCAUUACUAAGAAUUAUUAGCACAAACGCAUUCUUAUAAUGUUAAAAAGAGAACAUAAAUUUAUGUCAAUGUCAAUAUUGAACUUUACCUGAGCCCUAUGCCCCUACGGAACAGUAAUGCUUAAGGAAUCCACCCCCAUAAUUUUGGUUUUCAGAAAUCCCUUCCCACUUCUGUGUUCCAGGAAGUGGCUCACCACCAAGAACCACCUUUUCCCAUGGGACUGAGAUAACACUGCUUGUCCACUCUUUCCCAUGACUCCCAUAAGACAUGGGUGACCCCCUGGUUGAUGAUGAGGCCAAACACAGACCUUCCUUUUUCCUGUACCAGCUGAAAAGGUCAGACACAGACCCUCCACUUUGUUGUUCUUUAUCUCAUAAAUGAUUAGCCUAAGACUAGAACUGUCCCUCCCCCUGAAACUGGCUAGACACAGAGAUAAACAUUUCCUGUUCAGCUAAGUGACUGGGACUCCACCUAAUUGUACAAUAGCCCCAACUGUAAAUCAUGCUGUGUUCCUCCCUGUGACAGUCCAGGGCAAAACCACUGUGCUAAGACAUUCUGAUUUUCAGAUCUAGUGUGCUUUCCUUAUUGUAAUAGCCUGAAUAAAAUCAAUUUCCUUACUGGUUCUCCUUUUGUCUUUGGCAUCAGUAAUGCUGAACAAAACUAUGACACUUAAGAAACUACUCAGACAAUCCUGAACAAUACUCUGAAGGCAGUUGAGAAGUUCACAACCAGCUAGUCCUUGUAUAAUCUUUUUUCCUUUACUAUCUGCAUUCAGUUUAAGCACUGCCCACUGGCAAAGUUACAUAGACACAUAAAUACACAUUGGUACUUUUAUUCAUUUUUGUUUAAAACAGGGAAUCACCUUCCACCAAAUCAUAAAAUUCUCAAGAGCAAGAUAAAGAACACGUUUUCUAAGUCUCCAAAACCCAUUGGAGUAUCUUUCUCACAAGGGAUGGGCAUUGUUAGCCUGCUGGGUUUCAGUUGAUAAUUUUGUCUAAAUAAACUAGGUGGUGUUUUCGUUUUUUCUUUCUCAAUUUAGAGUACUGAGCAAGUUUUGUCCUCUCAGAAUGCCCUUCUUGGAGAUAACAGAUGGGCCAAAUCUGCUAUGAGAUAUCAACAUGUAUUCCUCUGUAAUUCUGUGGGCUUUGUUGUUGUUGGUGGUGGUGGUGGGGUAGCACACAGGGGAGGGAAUGAAGAUGCAUUCAUCACCUGGGGCUAUGAAGUCCAUGCCUCUCCACAGUGCCCCUUCCCUGGCCCUGAAGCUCACAUACACUGCCAAGAUCCAGCUUGUUAACAGAAAUAACACAGCACCAAACUCCUGUGAAUAUCUCCUGCAAAACUUGUUGGAAAAGGCAGGCUCUAAGAUAACGUUCCACGCUGGCAAUUUGGAUUUUCAUUACAAUACCUGUUACUACCUCUGACCUGUCUACUAUAUGCCAACCACAGCACUGAGCACAUCAUAAGUGACACUUUUCAACCACACAACAACUUGCUGAAAGUCAGGUUCAAGUCUGUCUGAAUCCAAAGCCUCUGCUCUUUCUUUACUGAUGAUUGAUCUAUUAUCAAGAAUACAUUUCUUUACCUGAUAUGAGGGAGAGAUUGUGGGCCACCUGAAAACCUUCACAGACUACUAAUAAUCCUCAGAAAGAUUGGGAAGUGGGCGAGGAAAUUCUAAACUCAUACUUGUAUCUUAAUAUUCUAUGAGAUAAACAAGUUAGGGCCAUGUUGAGCAGGUCAGCUAUUGUAAGCAAAGGUCUCAGAUGUGGCACCAAGGCUAUCUGUCCUCGGAUUUCUCUGAACAGCUUAGCAGGGAGUCUCCAUGGUGUAGGCAUAAAAUGAACCAGUGAAGAAAUGUAGAAAAGUAUUUGUUUGUUUUCUCCCAUAGUGUGUUACGAAGGUUUUAGCCCAAAAUCUAAGGAAGCAGAAUGAAGAUUUCUAGAAAACGCAGGUGAGAUGAAGCCAAAGUGUUAUUUAUACAAACAUGAAAUCACAUCAGCUCGUUCUGAAUGCAGCGUAAUAAGCUGCCUUUCUUAGGAAUAAUGAAGCUUGAAACAAAGAUGUUUUUCCUCACUUAUAGGAAUUUCAGACAGCUGGCAUCACAUCCCUUCUAUACUAGAAGUUCCUUUACACUGACCCGAUCCAGGAGUGGUGAGAAGCAUGUAAAUUGUCAAAUGAAAUCCUGCUUGUGGUUUGGAAGGAGGAGAAAAUCCCACCGCCUUUGUUUCUAACCCUGCUGAGAAGCCGUUUUUUAAAAACCCUUUCCAAAGCACUGGGUUCUCUGAGGGUGCUUGAUCAGUGAAUUGUCAAGGUAAAUUUCCAUCUACCAGUUCUCCAGUUUUAGAUCCAAUCAGAUGAUUCCAAAAGAAUAGAAUUGCACAGUGAAGCAAUCUAAGAAAAAUAUAUCUACCAAUGUUGGGGGAAGAUGCCAGGCAUGACAUGGAUAGAAAGGCAAAAACUAAGGCCAGGCAUGGUGGCUCACGCCUGUAAUCCCAGCACUUUGAGAGGCCGA
Molecule: long non-coding RNA, 3664 nt
Filed under: Homo sapiens (human)
Lineage: Eukaryota; Metazoa; Chordata; Mammalia; Primates; Hominidae
Description: HSALNT0358852
Source: RNAcentral